GACGAACGCUGGCGGCGUGCUUAACACAUGCAAGUCGAACGGUGAAAGAAGAGCUUGCUCUUCUGGAUCAGUGGCGAACGGGUGAGUAACACGUGAGUAACCUGCCCCAGACUUUGGAAUAAGCGCUGGAAACGGCGUCUAAUACCGGAUACGAGACAGAGCUGCAUGGCUACUGUCUGGAAAUUUUUUCGGUCUGGGAUGGACUCGCGGCUUAUCAGCUUGUUGGUGAGGUAACGGCUCACCAAGGCAACGACGGGUAGCCGGCCUGAGAGGGCGACCGGGGAAAAGAGGACUAAGAGAGGGAGCAGAGUGGAACAGGGGGCAGAAGGGGGAAGUAGGGGACAACGGGCGAGAGCAGGUGGCAGAAGCACAGGGGGGGGAAAGACGGGCGGUUGGGAAAGAAAAGCGGGCGGCGAAGAAGAAGCGGGGGUGACGGUAACAGAUAAAGAAGCACCGGAUAACUAGGUG
RNAcentral lists this ribosomal RNA (468 nucleotides) under uncultured bacterium. RNAcentral's name for it is "partial 16S ribosomal RNA". The stretch from base 20 to 332 matches the Rfam family "Bacterial small subunit ribosomal RNA", at positions 47 to 358 of the family's 1533-position model. The record is from RNAcentral.